Molecule: unclassified non-coding RNA, 382 nt
Filed under: uncultured Alphaproteobacteria bacterium
Lineage: Bacteria; Pseudomonadati; Pseudomonadota; Alphaproteobacteria
Description: contains 16S-23S intergenic spacer region
Source: RNAcentral
UCCGGCUUAUCACCGGCAGUCCCCUUAGAGUGCCCAACUAAAUGAUGGCAACUAAGGGCGAGGGUUGCGCUCGUUGCGGGACUUAACCCAACAUCUCACGACACGAGCUGACGACAGCCAUGCAGCACCUGUCUCCGGUCCAGCCGAACUGAAGGGUCUCAUCUCUGAAACCCAUACGGGACAUGUCAAGGGCUGGUAAGGUUCUGCGCGUUGCUUCGAAUUGAACCACAUGCUCCACCGCUUGUGCGGGCCCCCGUCAAUUCCUUUGAGUUCUAAUCUUGCGACCGUACUCCCCAGGCGGGAUGCUUAAUGCGUUAGCUACGGCACGGAACCCGUCGAUAGAGUCCCACACCUAGUGCCCAACGUCUACAGCGUGGACUAC